Molecule: ribosomal RNA, 366 nt
Filed under: Staphylococcus epidermidis NIH05005
Lineage: Bacteria; Bacillati; Bacillota; Bacilli; Caryophanales; Staphylococcaceae
Description: bacterial SSU rRNA
Rfam family: Bacterial small subunit ribosomal RNA
Source: RNAcentral
UUUUAUGGAGAGUUUGAUCCUGGCUCAGGAUGAACGCUGGCGGCGUGCCUAAUACAUGCAAGUCGAGCGAACAGACGAGGAGCUUGCUCCUCUGACGUUAGCGGCGGACGGGUGAGUAACACGUGGAUAACCUACCUAUAAGACUGGGAUAACUUCGGGAAACCGGAGCUAAUACCGGAUAAUAUAUUGAACCGCAUGGUUCAAUAGUGAAAGACGGUUUUGCUGUCACUUAUAGAUGGAUCCGCGCCGCAUUAGCUAGUUGGUAAGGUAACGGCUUACCAAGGCAACGAUGCGUAGCCGACUGAGAGGGUGAUCGGCCACACUGGAACUGAGACACGGUCCAGACUCCUACGGGAGGCAGCAGUA